Molecule: ribosomal RNA, 520 nt
Filed under: uncultured bacterium
Lineage: Bacteria
Description: bacterial SSU rRNA
Rfam family: Bacterial small subunit ribosomal RNA
Source: RNAcentral
AGAGUUUGAUUAUGGCUCAGGAUGAACGCUAGCUACAGGCUUAACACAUGCAAGUCGAGGGGCAGCAUUGAGAUAGCUUGCUAUUCAGAUGGCGACCGGCGCACGGGUGAGUAACGCGUAUCCAACCUUCCCCUUAGUAGGGGAUAGCCCGGUGAAAAUCGGAUUAAUACCCUAUGUUGUUCGAAGCAGACAUCUAAAUUGAACCAAAGGUUUACCGCUAAGGGAUGGGGAUGCGUCUGAUUAGGUAGUAGGCGGGGUAACGGCCCACCUAGCCGACGAUCAGUAGGGGUUCUGAGAGGAAGGUCCCCCACAUUGGAACUGAGACACGGUCCAAACUCCUACGGGAGGCAGCAGUGAGGAAUAUUGGUCAAUGGGCGCGAGCCUGAACCAGCCAAGUAGCGUGCAGGACGACGGCCCUAUGGGUUGUAAACUGCUUUUAUACAGGGAUAAAGUCACCUACGUGUAGGUGUUUGUAGGUACUGUAUGAAUAAGGACCGGCUAAUUCCGUGCCAGCCGCCGC